Aegilops tauschii subsp. strangulata is the source of this 2932-nucleotide long non-coding RNA. RefSeq lists it as uncharacterized. The record is from RefSeq and is a predicted model, not a curated record. NCBI's taxonomy places the organism in Eukaryota, Viridiplantae, Streptophyta, Magnoliopsida, Poales, Poaceae.
AUCAACAAUCAGUGACAAGCCUCCACUAUCUAUUGCAAAAAUGAAGAACCGUGUUGAUUGCUUAUCCUGAAUAUGAUUUUGGGCGAAUAGGAUCUGACUAGCUUCUAAAUCUGCUGAACUGUACUGAUCAUAGUGUGAAACUAAUUUUUCUUUUGCUCUUCUAAAGGCCAUUUGCAAUGAUUCAUAAUUUGCCAGAGGAGAUGGCUCAGUUGGAAAUUAUGUUCAGUUUCUUUAUUCUUAUGCUAAUUCUAUGUCCAUUUGUAAGACGGCUGGUGAUGUUCAGAAUAAUAAGCGAAGUGCAGAACGAAAUUAAUGGGGCCGAGAUUAGCGGUUUCCUUUCCUUUCCCCUCGGAAGGCGAACAGGAAGGCGACUUUGUCCCCUCGAUCUGCCGCCGGCCAGGCCGGUGGUUCCUUCCCUCUCCGUCUGCCGCUCCGGCGACGGGAGAGGGCGGGAACCCCGGUCCCGUGCUUCCGGUAUGUAGAUAGUAGGGUAGUGGUUCCCGGAGUUGCCGUCAUGGUGGGGGUGUCGGUGUCGGUGUGGAAUAAAGAUGUUGGUGGUUCCCCCUCAUCCCGGCGAGGCCUUUGCCGGAACCGGCAAACUGUCGGCUUUAGGUGCUCUCGGAUCCUUCGAUCUGGUGAGCUUUGGUGCUCCGAGCAAAGCGCUGGAUCUGCCGGCGCAGGUUUGUGGUCUCUAGAUCUUUGCAGGUUCUUCUCCUCAACGACGAAUUGGUAACGGUGACUACAGUAGACUGUUUAAGCAACUAAGCAACUCAAGUCCCAUGGCGACUACAAAUCAUGAGUGGCCGCUGCACUAUUCUUUAUUUGACGGUCUCUAUGUGGAGGGUUUCAGAACUUCCUCUAGGUGCACACCUGAUUACUAGGGAUACACGCUUGCAACUAGCAAAAAUUGCAAGAUGCAGUGUCGCGUUUUCUCUUUCCAAUGCAUGGUAUCUGUUCAGGUGGAUGACCGCUAAUGUAUGUGGGAUAUGGAUGUCUUCAUAUUUGUGGUGGGUACAAGUAAUGUUAAAUUGAAAUUUGAGGUCCUCUUUUCAUUACAACCAGUAGCGAAAUUUAGGUUUUGGUGAGAAGAAAGGUGAACCUAAUGGCUAUAGCACUAUUGAGAAGAAUGUUUCAGUCGCUGGAGAAAUUGAGGAACAAAUGAAGUUGAUAGAAGAACGAGUAAUAAAGAUCUAUUAAACAUAUAUAUAGAUUGGUUGGCAAUAAAGAUCGACAUAAAAUAGCAUUACUUGUUUUGGGCAUAGCUAAACGUACAAGCUUAAUACUACUGAAAUUCUAAAAUCUAUUUGUAUGUGUUCGAUCAGAAGUAAUGUUUGGUUUUGUUCAUAGGUUGUCCCCUGUUUUGUCAUUCCACCUAACUGAAAGAGAUUGUAAUUGGGUCAACAAAUGGCAUACAUUUUUUUUUCGGUAGACAAACCUAUUUUGUUGAAAAUCUGAACUUUGUAGUUCAGUAGCUAACUAGCUAUUGUGUAGGUGUAUUUCAAUCUUAUGGCUUUUUUUGCUUGAGAUUCGUAUAUACUGUAUGAUGUUGAGUUUGUUCACAUUAACCUAUGUUCCUAUUUUGCUGAGCUAUCCACUGAAAUUUGCUUAAGUUCUUCUUAAUUCCCCGUGUUUACUACCACUGUACCACUAGAUUUGAUAUGUUUUUAUUUAGUUCCAUUUAAUAUUGGUUCAGCUAUAUUAUGGGUGGCUUUGGCAUUUUUCCCUUACAAUCGUGUGUCUGACGAAUUAUGGGGUGUGCCUCUUUCACACUAAUGUUUGUUGCAAACUGAUCAUGAAAUUCAAUUACUUCAGGUCUUCACUUACAACAUGAUUUACCUCCAAUUCUUUGCUCCUUUUGUUUCAUCACAAAGCAAUGAAGUUUAGUAGCAUAACUUCUAGUAGUAUUAAGAAAAUCCAUAUUGAAGGGACUUAAGAUACUUCUAUGUUUCAUUUUGAUGACACUCUCAGGUGUAAGACUAGUUAGACUUAGACAAUGUCGUAAGUACUCCGUCCGUCCCAAAAUUCUUGUCUUAGAUUUGUCUUGAUACAGAUGUAUCUAAUACUAAAAUGUGACUUCAUACAUGCGCAUUUAGACAAAUGUAAGACAAGAAUUUUGGAACAGAGGGAGUAGUUGCUAGACACAGACUAGUUCAAUACGGCGACUCCCACCAUUGAAGCUGGCACAGUUUGAUAAAAGACAUGGUUAGUGAGCAUUUUUAACAAUAGUUACAGAAGUUGGCUUUUGUCUUGUUUCUCACUAUACUUUUGAUUCACUUGCAGCUAGCAUGUUACGGGUUCAUGUGAUUGUGAUGAAUUUGGUACAUCCAAAGUCCCACUGCGAUAUCUUUGAUUUUGACAUUACGUUAUUUCUAGUUCAGGGCAGUGAAGCCUAUUAGUCCUGAAGUGUUAUAUGUGCUUCUGUGAUGGUGGCCACUACCUGUUUGUUGGUAUACUUUCAAGAAUUGAAAAUAUUCUGUCUUUUCAGUAUCUGUUCAAGUGGAUGACGGUUAAUGUACGAGGGAUAGAGAGUCAUGUCUUCAUAUUUAUGGUCGGUAAGAGUAAUGUGCAAUUGAAAUUGAAACCUUCAUUUACUAAUAACCAGUAGCAAAGUUCAGGUUUUGUGAGAAGAAAAGUGAACCAAAGGCUACAGUACUAUUAGUAGGAUACUGUGUUGCUUCCAGCCCAUGGAUAAGAAUGUUUCAGUCGCUGCAGAGAUAGCUAAACAGAUGAAGUUGGCGUAAAAUCUAUGGUCACCUACUGCUUGAAGAUCAAGUUCGACAGUAGUCAGUUUGCAAAUUCGGUAGCAUUCAAUUUUGUAAUAGUGAUUUCUGAAAAAUAAUAAUCAUGCCGCUGGUUACUUAGUGCUCAGUGGCAUUCAGUUACAUCCAAACGAAUUUUAUUUGUAAUCUUAAGAUGGCUUUUGUUACUACUA